GCUCCUGGAGCGGCCGAUAUCUGAUUAGCUAGUUGGUGAGGUAAAGGCUCACCAAGGCGACGAUCAGUAGCUGGUCUGAGAGGACGACCAGCCACACUGGAACUGAGACACGGUCCAGACUCCUACGGGAGGCAGCAGUGGGGAAUUUUGGACAAUGGGGGCAACCCUGAUCCAGCAAUGCCGCGUGAGUGAAGAAGGCCUUCGGGUUGUAAAGCUCUUUUGUCAGGGAAGAAAAGGGUACGGCUAAUAUCCGUGCCUCAUGACGGUACCUGAAGAAUAAGCACCGGCUAACUACGUGCCAGCAGCCGCGGUAAUACGUAGGGUGCAAGCGUUAAUCGGAAUUACUGGGCGUAAAGCGUGCGCAGGCGGUUUUGUAAGUCUGACGUGAAAUCCCCGGGCUUAACCUGGGAAUGGCGUUGGAGACUGCAAGGCUGGAAUCUGGCAGAGGGGGGUAGAAUUCCACGUGUAGCAGUGAAAUGCGUAGAGAUGUGGAGGAACACCGAUGGCGAAGGCAGCCCCCUGGGCUAAGAUUGACGCUCAUGCACGAAAGCGUGGGGAGCAAACAGGAUUAGAUACCCUGGUAGUCCACGCCCUAAACGAUGUCUACUAGUUGUUGGGUCUUAAUUGACUUAGUAACGCAGCUAACGCGUGAAGUAGACCGCCUGGGGAGUACGGUCGCAAGAUUAAAACUCAAAGGAAU
RNAcentral lists this ribosomal RNA (700 nucleotides) under Massilia sp. RNAcentral's name for it is "bacterial SSU rRNA". It matches the Rfam family "Bacterial small subunit ribosomal RNA", at positions 217 to 910 of the family's 1533-position model. Lineage: Bacteria; Pseudomonadati; Pseudomonadota; Betaproteobacteria; Burkholderiales; Oxalobacteraceae. The record is from RNAcentral.